AAGCUGACUGGUUCAAUUCCACCU
This 24-nucleotide non-coding RNA is filed under the name Arabidopsis thaliana (thale cress). Lineage: Eukaryota; Viridiplantae; Streptophyta; Magnoliopsida; Brassicales; Brassicaceae. The record is from RNAcentral.